AUUGAACGCUGGCGGCAUGCCUUACACAUGCAAGUCGAACGGCAGCAUGGGUGCUUGCACCUGGUGGCGAGUGGCGAACGGGUGAGUAAUACAUCGGAACAUGUCCUGUAGUGGGGGAUAGCCCGGCGAAAGCCGGAUUAAUACCGCAUACGAUCUACGGAUGAAAGCGGGGGACCUUCGGGCCUCGCGCUAUAGGGUUGGCCGAUGGCUGAUUAGCUAGUUGGUGGGGUAAAGGCCUACCAAGGCGACGAUCAGUAGCUGGUCUGAGAGGACGACCAGCCACACUGGGACUGAGACACGGCCCAGACUCCUACGGGAGGCAGCAGUGGGGAAUUUUGGACAAUGGGCGAAAGCCUGAUCCAGCAAUGCCGCGUGUGUGAAGAAGGCCUUCGGGUUGUAAAGCACUUUUGUCCGGAAAGAAAUCCUUGGCCCUAAUACGGUCGGGGGAUGACGGUACCGGAAGAAUAAGCACCGGCUAACUACGUG
Molecule: ribosomal RNA, 486 nt
Filed under: uncultured bacterium
Lineage: Bacteria
Description: partial 16S ribosomal RNA
Rfam family: Bacterial small subunit ribosomal RNA
Source: RNAcentral